RNAcentral lists this ribosomal RNA (806 nucleotides) under Collariella bostrychodes. RNAcentral's name for it is "LSU rRNA". It matches the Rfam family "Eukaryotic large subunit ribosomal RNA", at positions 79 to 917 of the family's 3401-position model. The record is from RNAcentral. Lineage: Eukaryota; Fungi; Ascomycota; Sordariomycetes; Sordariales; Chaetomiaceae.
CCUAGUAACGGCGAGUGAAGCGGGCAACAGCUCAAAUUUGAAAUCUGGCUUCGGCCCGAGUUGUAAUUUGUAGAGGAAGAUUUAGGCGCGGCACCUUCUGAGUCCCCUGGAACGGGGCGCCAUAGAGGGUGAGAGCCCCGUAUAGUUGGAUGCCUAGCCUGUGUAAAUCUCCUUCGACGAGUCGAGUAGUUUGGGAAUGCUGCUCAAAAUGGGAGGUAAAUUUCUUCUAAAGCUAAAUAUUGGCCAGAGACCGAUAGCGCACAAGUAGAGUGAUCGAAAGAUGAAAAGCACUUUGAAAAGAGGGUUAAAUAGCACGUGAAAUUGUUGAAAGGGAAGCGCUUGUGACCAGACUUGCGCCGGGCGGAUCAUCCGGUGUUCUCACCGGUGCACUCCGCCCGGCUCAGGCCAGCAUCGGUUCUCGUGGGGGGAUAAAGGCCCUGGGAACGUAGCUCCUCCGGGAGUGUUAUAGCCCAGGGUGUAAUGCCCUCGCGGGGACCGAGGUUCGCGCAUCUGCAAGGAUGCUGGCGUAAUGGUCAUCAGCGACCCGUCUUGAAACACGGACCAAGGAGUCAAGGUUUUGCGCGAGUGUUUGGGUGUAAAACCCGCACGCGUAAUGAAAGUGAACGUAGGUGAGAGCUUCGGCGCAUCAUCGACCGAUCCUGAUGUAUUCGGAUGGAUUUGAGUAGGAGCGUUAAGCCUUGGACCCGAAAGAUGGUGAACUAUGCUUGGAUAGGGUGAAGCCAGAGGAAACUCUGGUGGAGGCUCGCAGCGGUUCUGACGUGCAAAUCGAUCGUCAAAUCUGAGCA